UACCUCUUAGCAGGGGAUAACAAUUUGGAAACAAAUGCUAAUACCGUAUAAUAAUUAAACCGCAUGGUUUAGUUUAAAAGAUGGUCUUGCUAUCACUAAGAGAUGGUCCCGCGGUGUAUUAGUUAGUUGGUGAGGUAUGGCUCACCAAGACAAUGAUACAUAGCCGAGUUGAGAGACUGACCGGCCACAAUGGGACUGAGACACGGCCCAUACUCCUACGGGAGGCAGCAGUAGGGAAUCUUCCACAAUGGACGAAAGUCUGAUGGAGCAACGCCGCGUGUGUGAUGGAGGGUUUCGGCUCGUAAAACACUGUUGUAAGAGAAGAAUGACAUUGAGAGUAACUGUUCAAUGUGUGACGGUAUCUUACCAGAAAGGAACGGCUAAAUACGUG
This 391-nucleotide ribosomal RNA is filed under the name uncultured bacterium. RNAcentral describes it as "bacterial SSU rRNA". It matches the Rfam family "Bacterial small subunit ribosomal RNA", at positions 127 to 507 of the family's 1533-position model. The record is from RNAcentral.